Molecule: ribosomal RNA, 1427 nt
Filed under: Grimothea johni
Lineage: Eukaryota; Metazoa; Arthropoda; Malacostraca; Decapoda; Munididae
Description: SSU rRNA
Rfam family: Eukaryotic small subunit ribosomal RNA
Source: RNAcentral
UCAGGGUUCGAUUCCGGAGAGGGAGCCUGAGAAACGGCUCCACAUUAAGGAAGGCAGCAGGCACGCAAAUUACCCACUCCCGGCACGGGGAGGUAGUGACGAAAAAUAAUGAUGCGAGACUCAUCCGAGGCCUUGCAAUCAGAAUGAGUACACUUUAAAUCCUUUAACGAGGACCCAUUGGAGGGCAAGUCUGGGCCAGCAGCCGCGGUAAUUCCAGCUCCAAUAGCAUAUAUUAAAGCUGUAAAGCUCAUAGUUGGAUUACAGUUCUGGACUGAUGGUAUAUACACCUAUUGGUGCUUACUAUCACGCUCCUAAACAAGCUCACUUUGUUGAGCCCCACUAGCUCACACGGGGUGCUCUUGAUCGAGUGUCCCGAGUGGCUGGUAUGUUUACUUUGAAAAAAUUAGAGUGCUCAGAGCAGGCUCCUAUUAUGGCCUGAAUGCUUAUGCAUGGAAUAAUGAAAUAAGACCUCGAUUCCAUUUUGUCUGGUUUUUAUGGAAUUGGAGGUAAUGACUAAUAGAGACAAACGGGGGCAUUUGUAUUGCGACGCUAGAGGUGAAAUUCUUGGACCGUCGCAAGACAAACAACUGCGAAAGCAUUUGCCAAGGAUGUUUUCAUUAAUCAAGAACGAAAGUUAGAGGUUCGAAGGCGAUCAGAUACCGCCCUAGUUCUAACCAUAAACGAUGCUAACCAGCAAUCCGCCGGCGUUAUUCCCAUGACCCGGCGGGCAGCUUCCGGGAAACCAAAGUCUUUGAGUUCCAGGGGAAGUAUGGUUGCAAAGCUGAAACUUAAAGGAAUUGACGGAAGGGCACCACCAGGAGUGGAGCCUGUGGCUUAAUUUGACUCAACACGGGAAACCUCACCAGGCCCAGACACUGGAAGGAUUGACAGAUUGAGAGCUCUUUCUCGAUUCAGUGGGUGGUGGUGCAUGGCCGUUCUUAUGAUUUGUCUGGUUAAUUCCGAUAACGAACGAGACUCUGGCCUAUUAACUAGUCGACGGAUCUCCAUUAAUUGGUGUCCAGUUGCAACUUCUUCUUAGAGGGAUAAGCGGUAGUCCUAGCCGCACGAGAUUGAGCAAUAACAGGUCUGUGAUGCCCUUAGAUGUUCUGGGCCGCACGCGCGCUACACUGAAGGGAUCAGAAUGUUUUCCCCCUCCGAGAGGAGCGGGUAACCCUGUGAAACCCUUUCAUGAUAGGGAUUGGGGCUUGCAAUUAUUUCCCAUGAACGAGGAAUUCCCAGUAAGCGCAGGUCAUGAGCUUGCGUUGAUUAAGUCCCUGCCCUUUGUACACACCGCCCGUCGCUACUACCGAUUGAAUGAUUUAGUGAGGCCUUCGGACUGGCGCUCUUGGCAAACACUGGUUACUUCACAUUGUGGGGUACCGGUGCCUCGAGCUGACGGAAAGAUGUCCAAACUUGAUCAUUUAGAG